This 744-nucleotide ribosomal RNA is filed under the name uncultured bacterium. RNAcentral describes it as "bacterial SSU rRNA". It matches the Rfam family "Bacterial small subunit ribosomal RNA", at positions 8 to 796 of the family's 1533-position model. The record is from RNAcentral.
AGAGUUUGAUCAUGGCUCAGAGCGAACGCUGGCGGCAGGCUUAACACAUGCAAGUCGAGCGGGCGUAGCAAUACGUCAGCGGCAGACGGGUGAGUAACGCGUGGGAACGUACCUUUUGGUUCGGAACAACCCAGGGAAACUUGGGCUAAUACCGGAUAAGCCCUUACGGGGAAAGAUUUAUCGCCGAAAGAUCGGCCCGCGUCUGAUUAGCUAGUUGGUGAGGUAAUGGCUCACCAAGGCGACGAUCAGUAGCUGGUCUGAGAGGAUGAUCAGCCACAUUGGGACUGAGACACGGCCCAAACUCCUACGGGAGGCAGCAGUGGGGAAUAUUGGACAAUGGGCGCAAGCCUGAUCCAGCCAUGCCGCGUGAGUGAUGAAGGCCCUAGGGUUGUAAAGCUCUUUUGUGCGGGAAGAUAAUGACGGUACCGCAAGAAUAAGCCCCGGCUAACUUCGUGCCAGCAGCCGCGGUAAUACGAAGGGGGCUAGCGUUGCUCGGAAUCACUGGGCGUAAAGGGUGCGUAGGCGGGUCUUUAAGUCAGGGGUGAAAUCCUGGAGCUCAACUCCAGAACUGCCUUUGAUACUGAAGAUUUUGAGUUCGGGAGAGGUGAGUGGAACUGCGAGUGUAGAGGUGAAAUUCGUAGAUAUUCGCAAGAACACCAGUGGCGAAGGCGGCUCACUGGCCCGAUACUGACGCUGAGGCACGAAAGCGUGGGGAGCAAACAGGAUUAGAUACCCCUGUAGUCC